This 72-nucleotide transfer RNA is filed under the name Bos taurus (domestic cattle). It matches the Rfam family "tRNA". Rfam says of the family: Transfer RNA (tRNA) molecules are approximately 80 nucleotides in length. Their secondary structure includes four short double-helical elements and three loops (D, anti-codon, and T loops). Further hydrogen bonds mediate the characteristic L-shaped molecular structure. tRNAs have two regions of fundamental functional importance: the anti-codon, which is responsible for specific mRNA codon recognition, and the 3' end, to which the tRNAs corresponding amino acid is attached (by aminoacyl-tRNA synthetases). tRNAs cope with the degeneracy of the genetic code in two manners: having more than one tRNA (with a specific anti-codon) for a particular amino acid; and 'wobble' base-pairing, i.e. permitting non-standard base-pairing at the 3rd anti-codon position. Lineage: Eukaryota; Metazoa; Chordata; Mammalia; Artiodactyla; Bovidae. The record is from Rfam by way of RNAcentral. RNAcentral also lists the same sequence under 2 other names.
UCCCUGGUGGCUCAGAGGAUAAAGCUUCUGCCUGCAAUGUAGGAGACCCGGGUUCAAUCCCUGGGUUGGGAA